UACAUGUGGGGCAAGCGUUGUUCGGAAUUACUGGGCUUAAAGGGUGCGUAGGUGGUUUGUUAAGUCAUGGGUGAAAGUUUUCGGCCCAACCGGAAAAUUGCCUGUGAUACUGGCGAACUUGAGUGCGUGAGGGGUAACCGGAACGAGCAGUGUAGCGGUGAAAUGCGUAGAUAUUGCUCGGAAGGCCAGAGGCGAAGGCGGGUUACUGGUACGCAACUGACACUGAGGCACGAAAGCGUGGGGAGCAAACAGG
RNAcentral lists this ribosomal RNA (253 nucleotides) under uncultured bacterium. Its description in RNAcentral is "partial 16S ribosomal RNA". It matches the Rfam family "Bacterial small subunit ribosomal RNA", at positions 524 to 776 of the family's 1533-position model. The record is from RNAcentral.